GACGAACGCUGGCGGCGUGCCUAAUACAUGCAAGUAGAACGCUGAAGGAGGAGCUUGCUUCUCCGGAUGAGUUGCGAACGGGUGAGUAACGCGUAGGUAACCUGCCUGGUAGCGGGGGAUAACUAUUGGAAACGAUAGCUAAUACCGCAUAAUAGCAGUUGUUGCAUGACAUUUGCUUAAAAGGUGCAAUUGCAUCACUACCAGAUGGACCUGCGUUGUAUUAGCUAGUUGGUGGGGUAACGGCUCACCAAGGCGACGAUACAUAGCCGACCUAAGAGGGUGAUCGGCCACACUGGGACUGAGACACGGCCCAGACUCCUACGGGAGGCAGCAGUAGGGAAUCUUCGGCAAUGGACGGAAGUCUGACCGAGCAACGCCGCGUGAGUGAAGAAGGUUUUCGGAUCGUAAAGCUCUGUUGUAAGAGAAGAAACGAGUGUGAGAGUGGAAAG
This 449-nucleotide ribosomal RNA is filed under the name Streptococcus mitis. RNAcentral's name for it is "bacterial SSU rRNA". It matches the Rfam family "Bacterial small subunit ribosomal RNA", at positions 28 to 471 of the family's 1533-position model. The record is from RNAcentral. Lineage: Bacteria; Bacillati; Bacillota; Bacilli; Lactobacillales; Streptococcaceae.